Molecule: RNA transcript, 3045 nt
Organism: Lolium rigidum
Lineage: Eukaryota; Viridiplantae; Streptophyta; Magnoliopsida; Poales; Poaceae
Exons: 17
Source: RefSeq, a predicted model, not a curated record
GACCACCAGCACAAGGUUGCUGCUGCGGAUCCGGAUCCACUAUGCAAUCCACUUCCUGCAAGUUUCCGAGCACCCUCCAAACCGCAAGACAACUGCUGCUGCUGCUGCCAUCCGUGAAACCGUAGCCUAGCACCGCACAUGGUUGAGGUAGGAGGAGAAGAUGAACCUGGCUGCGCUUGCUGCUGCGAUACACCACCAGUGGUUCCUGCAAGUCUACAUGGCCCCCAAUCGCAAGCCCCACACGUAUGCACCUGCUGCUCAUUUACAUGAACAAAACUGCUGCUGCUGCUACAAUACGUGAGACCUAGCCUGGCGGCUCAGAGCUCAAGCAAUUCCCGUUGCUGCUGGCAGGAGGGAGGCCCAGUUCUGCCGGAAAUGCGCUCCCGCUUGCUGCUGCAGAUCCACUAAGCAAUCGGUUCCUGCAAGUCUCUGGGCCCCCUCAAUUGCCAGGUCUUGUCCGUGGAUGACAUCAACGCAGCUGAGGACGGUGAACACAAGGAAAACAGUCUCACUUCUGUGAGGUUGGAUGAGCUUUGCCGACCUGGACGGCGAUGGGGAAGACGACCAAGACAUCAGGGCAUCUCGAGCCUGACCAGCCCGAUGCCCUGCAAAAAGCUGCCAGCAUACCUAGUGCUCAUUUAGAUGAAGACAACUGCUGCUGCCAUCCGUAACCUAGCCUAGCACCGCAGAUGGCUGAGGGAGGAGCAGGAGGUGAAGCGGGAUGAGGCAGGCUCAUCCGCUAGCGCUGCGGGGAGGGCUCUGGUUGCUGCUGCAGAUCGACUACAAGCUGCUAUACCCCAUCUGUUCCUGCCAGUCUACGAGGCCCCCAAUUGCAAGGUGUUGUCCAUGGAUGACAUGGACGCAGAGGACGGUGAACACAAGUACAGCAGUCUCACUUCCGUGAGGUUGGAUGACCUUUUCCGACAUGGACGACGAUGGGGAAGACGACCUAGACAUCAGGGAAUCUCGAGCCUGACCUGCCCAACACCCUGCAAAAAGGUCCUCUCCCCCCAUCUUCUGAUGUGCUUUAUUCUACCCUUGUUUUCCCACCAUCUCAUGAUCCAGUUGCAGCUUGGCUAAUGUACAUAAAUUGUCUAGCUUCCUCGUGUUACUUCCCAUGUGGCUACCUGACUUACUAUAAUCCUUGUGCUCAUUUAGAUGAAGACAAUUGCUGUUGCCAUCCGUGAAAACCUAGCCUAGCACCGUGGACGGCUGACGGAGGAGGAGGAGGAGCAAAAGUGGGAUGAGGCAGGUGCAUCCGCUAGCGCCGCUGGGAGGGCUCUGGUUGUCGACUACAAGCUGCUAUACCCCCUGUUCCUGCCAGUCUACGAGGCCCCUAAUUGCAAGGGAGGUUGGCCGUGGGAGGGUUCUACUCGCCUGCGAUGCAGCAUCAACCAGCAGAACUCGAUGAGGGUGACACGAGCCACAGAGUGCUACUACCCAUUCAUCUUCUUUGCCCCUGGGCAGCUCGGGGUCGCUCUAUCCAUCAGGUUCUGGGCGGCUAGAAGAUCCGAAGACAACUUGGCGCUCUACUUCCUUGUGUCCUCUGCCGCAACAGGCUGACGCAGCCCAUGGGCUCUGUCCUCACAGUCUCCUCUGCAUGAUGCUGCCCGAGUGUAAAAGAAUACCAUCUUGCACAGCUUUUACUGGCUAUGCGUCUCCACCGAUGGUGUCAUCAAUGCCUGGGCAUGGGUGCUGGAUGGUGGCACCUGCAUCAACGCCCGACUUCUACAGCUGGGCCAGUUCAAGGCACUGUUCCAUUGUUCUUCAAUGCAGAGAUCCUGUUGUGCCCGACCGCCAUGACGCUCCGCAAAAAAGUCAUCUUUUUCCCCAUGUUCUGAUGUGCUCUACUCUAGACAAGUUUGCACAUCAUCUCUUGAUCCAGUUGCAGCUUAGCUACUGUACAGAAAAUAGCUAGCUUCCUUGUUGCUUCUCAUGUGGCUACCUAACUUGUGCUGAUCCUUGUGCUUAUGUGCAGCAGCCAGAAUAUGCAAGUGCUCAAUUACAUGAAGAAAACUAAGCUGCUGUUUCCAUUCGUGAUACUUUGCCUAGCACGGCGGACGGCUGAGGGACGAGGAGGAGCUCAAGCGGGAGGAGGCAGGUGCAUCCGCAAGCGCUGUGGGGAGGUGCUCCGGUUUCUGCUGUGGAUUGACUACGAGGUAUAUGCCAUUGGUUCCUGCCAGGCUACGAGGCCCUCAAUUGCAAGGUGAAUGGAACUUUCCAAGCCCAAGAGCAUGCUGGUAGUACUCUGUUCACAAUUUCUUCCCAUGUUAAAGAGCAUGGUUCAUUGAGAUGGGCUUGUUGCAUGGUGCUGCUCUGUACUUCAUUGCUACUAGAGAGUGGCGGGAAGGCGCUCUGGUUGCUGCCGCGGAUCCACUACAGGGUCUACAGAGUCGUUUCUUCCUGCAAGUCUCUGAGGCCCCUCUAUUGCCAGCAGCCAGAGUAUGCAUGUGCUCAAUUAGAUGAAGAAAUCUAUAGUUGUUGCUGCCAUCCGUGAUACCUUGCCUAGCACGGUGGAUGGCUGAGGGAUGAGGGACGAUGAAGAGCUAAAGCGGGAAGAGGCAGGUGCAUUCGGAAGCGCUGUGGGGAGGGCUCCGCUUGCUGCUGCAGAUCAACUAGAAGCUGCUAUAUGUCAUCGGUUCCUGCCAGCCUAUGAGGCCCUCAAUUGCAAGUUGGCCAUCACAUGGAUGUGUGGUCUUCUAUGACAACAUCAUUCAUGUCUUCCUCUGCUCUAGCCUUGACAUCGCGUGCAAGUACGAGGACAAUGAUGCACCAUUGUAGCCCACCACUUGUUGUUUGCACGGUCAUACACUGGCAGUGGCAUGGAUGGUGUCCUGGUGCAAUCAGGGCUACAAUCAGUCUUAGGAAAAGAUGUAAAUGAGCACACGAUUUCUUAUUUGCCACUGGUUUCUGUUCCAUGUGUUAUAUCUGCAAUACAUGAGCUUUGCAUUGCCUUGGGUGGAUGAUGGUGUUCAGAUUUUAAACACUGACACACACUCGAGGCCCCUCUCAGAUGGUGAAUGUAUCAAGGAACCAACCAUCGGA